CCCCCAUCUUACCCAGUUUGCAAAACCCAGAUAUAAUAGAUGUAUAAGUGACGACAUCAGGUGAACAAUCUUUUCUAGACUGAACUUCCUUCAAUAGGUCACCGCUCUAUCUAAUUCAUUAACCCUACACAAUCCACUUAUCAGAGUGUUAUAUGUAACAACAUCAGGUAAACCACCAAAACUCCCCAUAUCAUUUAAAAAUUCAAAAGCCCUAUCAACUUCACCUGCUCUGCAGAGACCUCGGAUAAGAAUAUUGAAGGUCCAAGUAUCAG
This 272-nucleotide unclassified non-coding RNA is filed under the name Hevea brasiliensis (rubber tree). Lineage: Eukaryota; Viridiplantae; Streptophyta; Magnoliopsida; Malpighiales; Euphorbiaceae. The record is from RNAcentral.